This 67-nucleotide transfer RNA is filed under the name Cavia porcellus (domestic guinea pig). It matches the Rfam family "tRNA". From Rfam's summary of the family: Transfer RNA (tRNA) molecules are approximately 80 nucleotides in length. Their secondary structure includes four short double-helical elements and three loops (D, anti-codon, and T loops). Further hydrogen bonds mediate the characteristic L-shaped molecular structure. tRNAs have two regions of fundamental functional importance: the anti-codon, which is responsible for specific mRNA codon recognition, and the 3' end, to which the tRNAs corresponding amino acid is attached (by aminoacyl-tRNA synthetases). tRNAs cope with the degeneracy of the genetic code in two manners: having more than one tRNA (with a specific anti-codon) for a particular amino acid; and 'wobble' base-pairing, i.e. permitting non-standard base-pairing at the 3rd anti-codon position. The record is from Rfam by way of RNAcentral. Lineage: Eukaryota; Metazoa; Chordata; Mammalia; Rodentia; Caviidae.
GGGGAUUUAGCUCAGUGGCAUAAGCAUCUGCUUGGCAAGCAGCAUGAGGUCAUGAGUUCAAUCUCCG